GGCUGCAGAGGAAGAAGUCUGCAGUUGUUUCCUGGGAGGAAGUCUGGAGGAGAGUAGGCCCUAGGAUCUGAUUCUGGCAAGAGUACUUGUUCCUGCAGGAAUGAAGAUCCAGUUUCCUAAAAACAAGAACAUCUGCCCGGGUUUUCGACACAUGGGUAGACGGUGUAUUAUCCGCACAGUAAUCACGAAAAGAAAAAUGCAGUCAUGUUCCAAGUUCAUUUGAUGAGUGCAUUGCUUAUUUCAGCACGUGCUUCAGUCGUAAGUCCAUUUGUCGACUGCAGGAGCUCUAACUUGUUCUGAUUACUAUGUUUCGUAUGGUACAGCCAAGGUCCAUCCUGUGUACUUCGUUACAAGAUGGACCUAAACUCUGUGGCAAAA
This is a long non-coding RNA of Dermochelys coriacea (leatherback sea turtle), 378 nucleotides long. RefSeq lists it as uncharacterized. The transcript has 3 exons. NCBI's taxonomy places the organism in Eukaryota, Metazoa, Chordata, Testudines, Dermochelyidae. The record is from RefSeq and is a predicted model, not a curated record.